Molecule: unclassified non-coding RNA, 289 nt
Filed under: uncultured fungus
Lineage: Eukaryota; Fungi
Description: partial contains 5.8S ribosomal RNA, internal transcribed spacer 2, and large subunit ribosomal RNA
Rfam family: 5.8S ribosomal RNA (bases 1-52)
Source: RNAcentral
AACGCACAUUGCGCCUGCUGGUAUUCCGGUAGGCAUGCCUGUUUGAGCGUCAGCAAAACCUCUCAAUGAUAAUUUUUAUUGUUGGUCAUGGGCCGCGGAGGAUUAGCUUUAACGGCUGCUCCCGCCUUAAACUUGCUGCACGACCGCAAGCUAAUGCUAGGUUAAUGAAGUGGUGUUUACAUUUAAAUUCAUAAACCGUUCAUGGCUUCUGUGGCGUUAAACCUGAUAGUCGUCUAACCGCGACCGAAGUUUUGACCUCAAAUCAGACAAGGAUACCCGCUGAACUUAA